GGGUGGUUGGCGCAAUGGUAGCGCGUUCGCCUCCAGAGCGAAAGGUUGUUGGUUCGAUCCCUGCACUGCCCA
RNAcentral lists this transfer RNA (72 nucleotides) under Coemansia erecta. RNAcentral describes it as "tRNA-Trp". It matches the Rfam family "tRNA". Rfam says of the family: Transfer RNA (tRNA) molecules are approximately 80 nucleotides in length. Their secondary structure includes four short double-helical elements and three loops (D, anti-codon, and T loops). Further hydrogen bonds mediate the characteristic L-shaped molecular structure. tRNAs have two regions of fundamental functional importance: the anti-codon, which is responsible for specific mRNA codon recognition, and the 3' end, to which the tRNAs corresponding amino acid is attached (by aminoacyl-tRNA synthetases). tRNAs cope with the degeneracy of the genetic code in two manners: having more than one tRNA (with a specific anti-codon) for a particular amino acid; and 'wobble' base-pairing, i.e. permitting non-standard base-pairing at the 3rd anti-codon position. RNAcentral also lists the same sequence under 40 other names. Lineage: Eukaryota; Fungi; Kickxellomycota; Kickxellomycetes; Kickxellales; Kickxellaceae. The record is from RNAcentral.